Molecule: ribosomal RNA, 253 nt
Filed under: uncultured bacterium
Lineage: Bacteria
Description: partial 16S ribosomal RNA
Rfam family: Bacterial small subunit ribosomal RNA
Source: RNAcentral
UACGGAGGGUGCAAGCGUUGUCCGGAUUUAUUGGGUUUAAAGGGUGCGUCGGCGGCCCGUUAAGUCAGUGGUGAAAGCCUCCAGCUCAACUGGAGAACUGCCAUUGAUACUGACGGGCUUGAGUACAGACGAGGUAGGCGGAAUUGAUUGUGUAGCGGUGAAAUGCAUAGAUACAAUCAAGAACUCCGAUUGCGUAGGCAGCUUACUAGGCUGUAACUGACGCUGAGGCACGAAAGCGUGGGGAGCGAACAGG